GACGAACGCUGGCGGCGUGCUUAACACAUGCAAGUCGAACGAUGAAGCCGGAGCUUGCUCUGGUGAAUUAGUGGCGAACGGGUGAGUAACACGUGAGUAACCUGCCCUUGACUCUGGGAUAACUGCUAGAAAUGGUAGCUAAUACCGGAUACGACCCUCGGAGGCAUCUUCAGGGGGUGGAAAGAAUUUCGGUCAAGGAUGGACUCGCGGCCUAUCAGCUAGUUGGUGAGGUAAUGGCUCACCAAGGCGACGACGGGUAGCCGGCCUGAGAGGGGGACCGGCCACACUGGGACUGAGACACGGCCCAGACUCCUACGGGAGGCAGCAGUGGGGAAUAGUGCACAAUGGGCGCAAGCCUGAUGCAGCAACGCCGCGUGAGGGAUGACGGCCUUCGGGUUGUAAACCUCUUUUAGUAGGGAAGAAGCGAAAGUGACGGUACCUGCAGAAAAAGCACCGGCUAACUACGUGCCAGCCGCCGCCGUAA
RNAcentral lists this ribosomal RNA (484 nucleotides) under uncultured bacterium. RNAcentral's name for it is "partial 16S ribosomal RNA". It matches the Rfam family "Bacterial small subunit ribosomal RNA", at positions 28 to 523 of the family's 1533-position model. The record is from RNAcentral.